This is a long non-coding RNA of Anarrhichthys ocellatus (wolf-eel), 406 nucleotides long. RefSeq lists it as uncharacterized. Lineage: Eukaryota; Metazoa; Chordata; Actinopteri; Perciformes; Anarhichadidae. The transcript is spliced from 4 exons. The record is from RefSeq and is a predicted model, not a curated record.
AGUACACGAGCAGGAGACACAAUGCCAGAUAAAAAGAAGGAUAAGGGAGAAUGCAAGGGGAAGCAUGACAAAAAGGAGAAGUCAAGUCACAAAGGCGGCAAAGGAAAGAAGAAGGACAAGAAGGACAAGGAUGGAAAGUGUGAGGGGAAAGGUUCCGGCUCAGGCUCAGACUCCUCAUCUUCAGGCUCCAGCAGUGAUGAGGAAUAAAGCUGAGACCGGACUGCUGUCAGUGUCUUACGACCCUGCCUAUUAACAAAAUGAGUCUGAAGUAACUUUCCCUCCUGUCCUUUCAUUGAUGUCAAAGAAACAUGCUGGUCUUGUGUAAACAAGCCUGCUGAUUCCUAGAAGUAAAUGUUCUGCCACCGAAAUGCAAGAGUUCCACUGUCAAAAUAAAGUGCAUUUUCUU